UUCGUGACAAGAGCGACGUCCAUCGGGUA
RNAcentral lists this non-coding RNA (29 nucleotides) under Homo sapiens (human). Lineage: Eukaryota; Metazoa; Chordata; Mammalia; Primates; Hominidae. The record is from RNAcentral.